GAUGAAGAACGCAGCGAAAUGCGAUAAGUAAUGUGAAUUGCAGAAUUCAGUGAAUCAUCGAAUCUUUGAACGCACAUUGCGCCCGCUAGUAUUCUGGCGGGCAUGCCUGUUCGAGCGUCAUUUCAACCAUCAAGCCCCAGGCUUGUGUUGGGGGCCUGCGGCUGCCGCAGCCCCUGAAAAGCAGUGGCGGGCUCGCUGUCAUUCCGAGCGCAGUAGUUACAUCUCGCUCCGGGCGUGGCGGUGGGCACCUGCCGUGAAACACUCCUUCUAAGGUUGACCUCGGAUCAGGUAGGAACACCCGCUGAACUUAAGCAUAUCAAUAAGCGGAGGA
This 331-nucleotide unclassified non-coding RNA is filed under the name soil metagenome. RNAcentral describes it as "partial contains 5.8S ribosomal RNA, internal transcribed spacer 2, and large subunit ribosomal RNA". The stretch from base 1 to 120 matches the Rfam family "5.8S ribosomal RNA", at positions 35 to 154 of the family's 154-position model. The record is from RNAcentral.